GAGAAUGAUGAUAUGGUUUUGUCGCCCCAGACUUAGGAUCCGGCCUCCGGAUCUGUGUUGAUUGACAUGUUAUCGAUUCUGACUC
Molecule: small nucleolar RNA, 85 nt
Organism: Phragmites australis (common reed)
Lineage: Eukaryota; Viridiplantae; Streptophyta; Magnoliopsida; Poales; Poaceae
Product: small nucleolar RNA U31b
Exons: 1
Source: RefSeq, a predicted model, not a curated record